AAAGGUAAGCUACUAAGAGCGAAUGGUGGAUGCCUUGACUGGUAAAGGCGAUGAAGGACGUACUAGACUGCGAUAA
RNAcentral lists this ribosomal RNA (76 nucleotides) under Campylobacter jejuni. RNAcentral describes it as "partial 23S ribosomal RNA". The record is from RNAcentral. Lineage: Bacteria; Pseudomonadati; Campylobacterota; Epsilonproteobacteria; Campylobacterales; Campylobacteraceae.